AAAAAAAACCCCAACCAACCGUCCCCCACCUGUCGCACCUCUCUCUCCCCUGGAUCCCCGCCGCCGCCCAGAAACCACCGACCCACCCAUCGCCGGGGACCAUCCAACGGCUGGCGCCCUCAACCCUAGGCGCCGUCGCCCCCGACCCCAGGCGUCGCCGCCCCGCCAACCCCAGGCGUCGCUGCCCCUGAAAACCCUCGGACCGGGAAUCACCGCUGGCCACCCACCCCAUCCAUCGUGACGACGCCUCCUACCGUGACGCCGCCACAAGCCUUCUACCACCACACCGAUGUCGGCAUCCUCCCGCAGCACCGCCAGUGCUUUGCCGGUAGAAGUUCGAGGCCGGAUCCGGAGGAAGUUCGAGGGAUCCUCCUGACAUUAACUACAGCAAGCCAGAGCCGCUCGCCGCCUUCGCUUGAGGAUCCUGCGGGAGAAAGCGAGAUUGACCCGCCCAACCAUUGACUCCUCCCGGGGUCUGCCACCCUGCUCCCAUGAUUCGCCGACACCCUUCACCAACACCCUUGCUCCCCGAACCAGGGGCAUUACGCAGUCAGCAGGGCCUCUAGCCAAACACACCAUGCCCCUCAACUCUCGCCUCUGCACCUUCUGCCUUGGCAUCCCUCACGCGUGACCUUCUGCAGCGCCUAUGAUUGACCUUCCUGUCAUCUCUUGCUUGAACCCCUGCACCACUGCUUCCAAAUCAGCUCUACUCAUUCAAAGCUAAAGACCCAUAGCUCGCCGCGAAUUCUCCAGCAACCAUGGUGGCGAGUUGUGCGUGAACCUACAUCCAAAAUUGUUGCCAACGGAGACGCCGCACUGCUUGUCGCUACCUACACCCCGUGGAAGACAGCACCCACGGCCUUGUUGUAGACCUUGCAUGUUGUUGGCAGUCGUACUCUUGGCUACCUAGACGUUCCCCUGCCUUUAGCACCCCCGGCUGCCCCGCUGGCCAACUCCAUAACCCCGCCAGAAAAUUGGCCACCAUUGCAGGUCAGCUUCUCCUGAUGGGCAAGUCCAGCUGCAAAAAUAAGAGUGCAUGGAAGCUUCUCCAGAAAAUUGGCCACCAUUACGGUUGUUUUUUGAAUCAAGAUGUUGCUUGUUUGAGAAUACAGGGAAGAAGAAGAAAAGCACGGAGAAGAUAACACAUCAGCACUUUGUGGAUAACGCGAGACAAGAUACGAAGUGAAUGUGUGCUGGAGAAAUGUAAGUCGGCCACUAGUUAGUGCAUUUUUUAUGUAAAAAGGAUUGGGUGCAUGUAGUUACUAUGUGGCCAGGUCAUUUGAGAAUAUUGUUUGUAAGCGUGCACUGUCUUUUUGCCGCUGAUUCUUAUGCUCAAAUUAUCCCCAAAUUUCUACAGUUUUU
This 1362-nucleotide ribosomal RNA is filed under the name Triticum aestivum (bread wheat). RNAcentral describes it as "partial small subunit ribosomal RNA". Lineage: Eukaryota; Viridiplantae; Streptophyta; Magnoliopsida; Poales; Poaceae. The record is from RNAcentral.